Molecule: long non-coding RNA, 1537 nt
Filed under: Numida meleagris (helmeted guineafowl)
Lineage: Eukaryota; Metazoa; Chordata; Aves; Galliformes; Numididae
Description: lncRNA (ENSNMEG00000022219.1)
Source: RNAcentral
AUAUCCAUGUUGAGAGAGCAAAUGAAGUCCAAGAAGAGGCACACAUGACAAGCGACACAAUGAAACAGGAUUAAAGCACUGGUUGCACUUGAGUGAAAGAUUAAGUCAAAUGUUUUCUGAAAUAGAUCAUUACUCCAAAAUACAAAUUCAAUUUUCUGAGAGUAUGGCUACCAGUCAAUAUAUUUAGCUGACAGGAGGUUAAUCACAGAUUUUGUUUUCAAGACUUAAAAAUCUAACAGUAACAUUAUCAAAAGCGAUGGUACUAAUUUUGAUAGAUUUAAAACUAGCUCCAAAUAAACUUGCUAUGUAAAUACAUAAAUGCUGUAUCAAAUUCAAGAUCAGCCCAGUAUGAACUUUGAGAGAGGAUUAGCUUCACUGCAUCUGGUCUUGGGAAUGGCAAAAAAUAGCAAUUCAUCCUCAAAUUAGCUUGAAAGGGAUCAAGCUUUGGACUGGGGAAGAGGAGGAUUAGUGUGUUCCAUUUCCCCCAAAAUAACCAACAGCUUUUGUUCAGUUUAUUCCUAUCAGCUCACAAAUGAAUCUUGCUACAUUUGUGAACAUUUCAUCUACCAGUCAACCAGAAUACAACAGAUGUUGAAGCGUACAACAGUACAGCACUAGUAUUGUCUCAAGUCACAGAGUUAAUACGCAGUUCAAAUCCAGGCUCUCAUUUUCCCAUUUUUGGGAACUUGAAUAUUCUGUUUGAUUAACUCAAUAGCCAGAAAGAAAGCUUCAGUCCGACUCACAUGCAAACUAUUUUGCCUGUAAGAUUUCGGUUCUCAGACUCUUAAUUUUGGCUAAUGCUAACUUCUACUCAAAACUUCACUGUAGCACAGAGAGAAGGAAAAUACUUUAUGUCAGGAAGAAAAGGGAAGGGGAACAGAGCAGAAAAUCUACUUGCAGAAAUAAUUUUACUUUUCUCCUGCUGUCAAUGUGAGACUCAUAUCAUCAUUCAGUCUUCAAAAACAGUGCUGUCAACAGGUGAAGAAGGACAUAAACAUCACAACAACCGGUUAAUUUUCAGUUGCAUUCUCAUGAGUGAAUUCCUGAAGUUAAACAUAGGCUGCCGUACUUCACUGCAACUGAGACUGUGCCUAAUGAUUAGGCUGUACUGGCCAAAGAGGAAAGCAUAACUCCUUAUCAUCAUUGGCUUUGCACUGCAACUUCAACUGUCCUACAGACGGGAAGGAAACUGGUAAUGCAAGACACCUCUGGAACAAUCACAACACAGUUAACGUGCCUUUAUCCUCACAUCAUGUGAAUCUGCUGUACCGCUUCUGCACUAAAAUGGAGGAGAUUGGCAUGCCUAACUUCAGCAUUUUUCCUGUCAAUUUGCCAUACUUUCAGGGCUGUAUCAACUCACUAAAGAAGAUCAGAGAGAGCAUUUCAGUGUCUUGUGAGAAACACAGAGGGGAAAAAAAAGAAAUAAUAUACCUUUAAGUGUAACAGGCUUACAGUUAUGUAGAAAUGUUGCACUGCUGACACUAGAUAUAUGUCAUAUAUGAACAACAAAUCAUUUAAUAAACACAAGCAAAGGGAG